Molecule: ribosomal RNA, 484 nt
Filed under: uncultured Oscillospiraceae bacterium
Lineage: Bacteria; Bacillati; Bacillota; Clostridia; Eubacteriales; Oscillospiraceae
Description: bacterial SSU rRNA
Rfam family: Bacterial small subunit ribosomal RNA
Source: RNAcentral
AGAGUUUGAUCCUGGCUCAGGACGAACGCUGGCGGCACGCCUAACACAUGCAAGUCGAACGGAGUGAAGAUGCUUGCAUCUGAACUUAGUGGCGGACGGGUGAGUAACACGUGAGCAACCUGCCUUUCAGAGGGGGAUAACGUUUGGAAACGAACGCUAAUACCGCAUAAAAUAUCGGAGUCGCAUGGCACUGAUAUCAAAGGAGCAAUCCGCUGAAAGAUGGGCUCGCGUCCGAUUAGGCAGUUGGCGGGGUAACGGCCCACCAAACCGACAAUCGGUAGCCGGACUGAGAGGUUGAACGGCCACAUUGGGACUGAGACACGGCCCAGACUCCUACGGGAGGCAGCAGUGGGGGAUAUUGCACAAUGGGGGAAACCCUGAUGCAGCGAUGCCGCGUGAAUGAAGACGGCCUUCGGGUUGUAAAGUUCUGUCGCAGGGGACGAAAAUGACGGUACCCUGCAAGAAAGCUCCGGCUAACUACGUA